UAGGGAAUCUUCGGCAAUGGACGAAAGUCUGACCGAGCAACGCCGCGUGAGUGAAGAAGGUUUUCGGAUCGUAAAACUCCGUUGUUUGAGAAGAACAAGGACGUUAGUAACUGAACGUCCCCUGACGGUAUCUAACCAGAAAGCCACGGCUAACUACGUGCCAGCAGCCGCGGUAAUACGUAGGUGGCAAGCGUUGUCCGGAUUUAUUGGGCGUAAAGCGAGCGCAGGCGGUUUCUUAAGUCUGAUGUGAAAGCCCCCGGCUCAACCGGGGAGGGUCAUUGGAAACUGGGUGACUUGAGUGCAGAAGAGGAGAGUGGAAUUCCAUGUGUAGCGGUGAAAUGCGUAGAUAUAUGGAGGAACACCAGUGGCGAAGGCGGCUCUCUGGACUGUAACUGACGCUGAGGCUCGAAAGCGUGGGGAGCAAACAGG
RNAcentral lists this ribosomal RNA (429 nucleotides) under Gemmatimonadota bacterium. RNAcentral describes it as "Gemmatimonadetes bacterium partial 16S ribosomal RNA". It matches the Rfam family "Bacterial small subunit ribosomal RNA", at positions 355 to 776 of the family's 1533-position model. Lineage: Bacteria; Pseudomonadati; Gemmatimonadota. The record is from RNAcentral.